CUGGUUGAUCCUGCCAGACCCUACUGCUUUCAGAGUGGGACUAAGCCAUGCCAGUCAACGCCCUUGGCGUGGCAUACGGCUCAGUAACACGUAGUCAACAUGCCCAGGGGACGUGGAUGACCUCGGGAAACUGAGGAUAAACCGCGAUAGGCCAAGGUUUCUGGAAUGAACACUGGCUGAAACCUACAUGGCCCCUGGAUUGCACUGCGGCCUAUCAGGUUGUUGGCGAGGUAAUGGCCCACCAAACCUGCACCCGGUACGGGCUUUGAGAGGAGGAUCCCGGAUACGGGCACUGAAACAACGGCCCAGGCCCUUCUGGGAGCAACUUGGAUUUAACUUCUGACUUGGCGACCCUUGACGGAUGUUUUCGGAGUGAUGCCCGCCCCGGGCACCUUUGGGGUGCUCAUUUCCGCGGCGGAUGAAGGGGUGGGUGAGUCUGCCGUCUUCUACACCGGUAUUACCAGUGUCCCGAGUGGUCGUUACGAUUAUUGGCUCUAAAUAACCCUGAGCUGGUUCUGCCUAUUUUCCAAGAUUUCUCCCCUGCUUGCCCCACGGGCUGCGGGAGAUACUGUUUGGCUAGGAAGCAGCAGACUCCAGCUUCUCUAAGCGGUUCGGGUUACAAGCCUGUGAUCCCCUGAACACAACAACAGGCUAAUCCGGUUUGCCCCACUCCCUCGACCGUGUGGUAUUUAAUCCAGAAGCAUUCCACGGGAUCUUGGUCUCCGGCAGUCUCACCUCUAUCCCACGA
This 748-nucleotide ribosomal RNA is filed under the name uncultured soil archaeon. RNAcentral's name for it is "bacterial SSU rRNA". It matches the Rfam family "Archaeal small subunit ribosomal RNA", at positions 4 to 763 of the family's 1478-position model. The record is from RNAcentral.